Molecule: ribosomal RNA, 200 nt
Filed under: uncultured bacterium
Lineage: Bacteria
Description: partial 16S ribosomal RNA
Rfam family: Bacterial small subunit ribosomal RNA
Source: RNAcentral
AACGAACGCUGGCGGCAUGCCUAAUACAUGCAAGUCGAACGAACACUUCGGUGUUAGUGGCGCACGGGUGCGUAACGCGUGGGAAUCUACCCCUUGGUUCGGAAUAACAGUUAGAAAUGACUGCUAAUACCGGAUGAUGACGAGAGUCCAAAGAUUUAUCGCCAAGGGAUGAGCCCGCGUAGGAUUAGCUAGUUGGUGAG